RNAcentral lists this ribosomal RNA (405 nucleotides) under uncultured bacterium. RNAcentral describes it as "partial 16S ribosomal RNA". It matches the Rfam family "Bacterial small subunit ribosomal RNA", at positions 30 to 526 of the family's 1533-position model. The record is from RNAcentral.
AUUGAACGCUGGCGGCAGGCCUAACACAUGCAAGUCGAGCGAGCGGCGGACGGGUGAGUAAUGUAUGGGGAACUGCCCGAUAGAGGGGGAUAACUACUCGAAAGAGGGGCUAAUACCGCAUACUCUUGGAGCGGCCGAUAUCGGAUUAGCUAGGUGGUGGGGUAAAGGCUAACCAAGGCAACGCUCCGUAGCUGGUUUGAGAGGACGACCAGGCACACGGGGACUGAGGCACGGCCCAGACUCCUACGGGAGGCAGCAGUGGGGAAUUUUGGGCAAUGGGGGAAACCCUGAUCCAGCCAUCCCGCGUGUAUGAGAAGGCCUUCGGGUUGUAAAGUCCUUUUGGCAGAGAAGCGGUAUCUGCAGAAUAAGCACCGGCUAACUACGUGCCAGCAGCCGCGGUAAUAC